RNAcentral lists this ribosomal RNA (450 nucleotides) under uncultured bacterium. RNAcentral's name for it is "partial 16S ribosomal RNA". It matches the Rfam family "Bacterial small subunit ribosomal RNA", at positions 354 to 796 of the family's 1533-position model. The record is from RNAcentral.
GUGGGGAAUUUUGGACAAUGGGCGCAAGCCUGAUCCAGCAAUGCCGCGUUCAGGAAGAAGGCCUUCGGGUUGUAAACUGCUUUUGUACGGAACGAAACGGUCCUGGUUAAUACCUGGGGCUAAUGACGGUACCGUAAGAAUAAGCACCGGCUAACUACGUGCCAGCAGCCGCGGUAAUACGUAGGGUGCGAGCGUUAAUCGGAAUUACUGGGCGUAAAGCGUGCGCAGGCGGUGCUGUAAGACAGGCGUGAAAUCCCCGGGCUCAACCUGGGAAUUGCGCUUGUGACUGCAGUGCUGGAGUACGGCAGAGGGGGAUGGAAUUCCGCGUGUAGCAGUGAAAUGCGUAGAUAUGCGGAGGAACACCGAUGGCGAAGGCAGUCCCCUGGGCCUGUACUGACGCUCAUGCACGAAAGCGUGGGGAGCAAACAGGAUUAGAUACCCUUGUAGUCC